AUAUUUAUAACCAAUUACCAA
Molecule: small RNA, 21 nt
Filed under: Arabidopsis thaliana (thale cress)
Lineage: Eukaryota; Viridiplantae; Streptophyta; Magnoliopsida; Brassicales; Brassicaceae
Description: ATSL131510
Source: RNAcentral